This 1477-nucleotide ribosomal RNA is filed under the name Vibrio sp. GAS4. RNAcentral describes it as "16S ribosomal RNA". It matches the Rfam family "Bacterial small subunit ribosomal RNA". The record is from RNAcentral. Lineage: Bacteria; Pseudomonadati; Pseudomonadota; Gammaproteobacteria; Vibrionales; Vibrionaceae.
AGUCGAGCGGAACGAGUUAUCUGAACCUUCGGGGGACGAUAACGGCGUCGAGCGGCGGACGGGUGAGUAAUGCCUAGGAAAUUGCCCUGAUGUGGGGGAUAACCAUUGGAAACGAUGGCUAAUACCGCAUAAUGCCUACGGGCCAAAGAGGGGGACCUUCGGGCCUCUCGCGUCAGGAUAUGCCUAGGUGGGAUUAGCUAGUUGGUGAGGUAAUGGCUCACCAAGGCGACGAUCCCUAGCUGGUCUGAGAGGAUGAUCAGCCACACUGGAACUUAGAACACCGGUCCAAGACUCUUCGGGGAGGCAGCAGUGGGGAAAAUUGCACAAUGGGGCGCAAAGCCUGAUUGCCGCCAUGGCCCGCGGGGGGUGAAGAAAAGCCCCUCGGGUUUGUUAAGCACUUUCACAUCCUUGAGGAAAAGUGGUGUAGUUAAUAAGCUGCGAUUAUAUUGAAGGGUAAACGACAGGAAGAAAACACCCGGCUAUACACCCGCUGGCACGCAGCCGCGGGUGAUAACAGGGAGGUGGCGCAGAGGGUUAUCGGGAAUAUAUUGGGGCCGUAAAGCGCAUGCGGGGUGGGUUGUGUAAGUCCCAUGUGGAAAGCCCGGGGGCUCCCCCCUCGGAAUAGCAUUUUGAAACUGGGCAGACUAGAAGUACUGUAGAGGGGGGGUAGAAUUUCAUGCGUGUAGCGGUGAAAUGCGGUAGAGAUCUGAAGGGAAUACCGGUGGCGGAAGGCGGGCCCCCCUGGACAGAUACCUGACACUCACAUGCGAAAGCGUGGGGAGCGAAACAGGAUUAGAUACCCUGGUAGUCCACGCCCGUAAACGAUGUCUACCUUCGGAGGUUGUGGCCUUGAGCCCCCGCCUUUCGGAGCUAACGCGUUAAGUAAACAGCCUGCGCGAGUACGGUCGCAAGCAUGAAAACUCAAAUGAAUUGACGGGGGCCCGCACAAGCGGUGGAGCAUGUGGUUUAAUUCGAUGCAACGCGAAGAACCUUACCUACUCUUGACAUCCAGAGAACUUUCCAGAGAUGGAUUGGUGCCUUCGGGAACUCUGAGACAGGUGCUGCAUGGCUGUCGUCAGCUCGUGUUGUGAAAUGUUGGGUUAAGUCCCGCAACGAGCGCAACCCUUAUCCUUGUUUGCCAGCGAGUAAUGUCGGGAACUCCAGGGAGACUGCCGGUGAUAAACCGGAGGAAGGUGGGGACGACGUCAAGUCAUCAUGGCCCUUACGAGUAGGGCUACACACGUGCUACAAUGGCGCAUACAGAGGGCAGCAAGCUAGCGAUAGUGAGCGAAUCCCAAAAAGUGCGUCGUAGUCCGGAUUGGAGUCUGCAACUCGACUCCAUGAAGUCGGAAUCGCUAGUAAUCGUGGAUCAGAAUGCCACGGUGAAUACGUUCCCGGGCCUUGUACACACCGCCCGUCACACCAUGGGAGUGGGCUGCAAAAGAAGUAGGUAGUUAACCUUCGGGAGGACGCUACC